UCCACUUGGUGACUUUAAAUUGCUGAUUUAAAUCAACUUACCCUAGGUUGAGCUGUUAAAUUUUGGGUUCAGAGUAGGAACUGAACUGAAAUUUUGGAUAGUUCUUACUUCAACCAAGUUAAGGCCCCUAGCCACAAAGCUACUUAGGCACCUGAGUUUGGGGGGUUUAGGCACCACUAUGAUCUAUAAGAUGUGCAUCAAACCCUGUAGGCACUACAUUCACUAGGUGCCUAAAUUUUCAGGCUAGAUGUUCCCUGGGUACAUAAACUUCUACAUCUGAGCAUGCACACUGCUGCCACCCUCUGAGUGCCGAAGCAUCUAUCUCCCCCCUAAGCCACAAAGCAAAUUGAUGAACGAUGAAAAUAAGUACGUGCCUGCCUAUCUCAUGUGUGGGAUCCAGUCCAGUAGGUGAGCUCAGAGUUUGCCUGCUGGCUCACAUCCCAUUCAAAAUUGGCCAGGAGUCGUUAUGCUCCUGAUAAUUUUUAGUCCAGUGGUUAGAGCACUCACUUGGAAUGUGGGAAAACCCAGGGUCAAUUCUCUCCUCUGCCUGAGUGGGGAAAAAGAUUUGAACUAGGAUCUCCCAUCUCUGAGGAGACUGUAGCUCAGUGGUUAGAACAAGGUGUGCAUCUAGGCAGGGUUUACCCAUGAAGAGGAGUGUUUGCCUCUCCCAUUGGCUGGCUUAGGAAGCUUCUUACCUCCCAUGCUGACUUGUGUGGAUCACAGUCUUAGACACCUCUCUCUCAUUGUAUAGGAGCCUACACACCUGACUCGGAUGUUGUGGAUUGCUGCGUUGUUCCUGUGAUUUCCUAAGUGCCUAGAAGUUAGGCAUUGCAACAUCCAAGUCCUUUUGUGGAGCCAGGCCUAGGUGACUUAUCCUAAACUGCUGUUGUACUGCUUUGCAAGUGUCCUUGAAUACUGGACUGCCUGCAUCAUCCACUGGGCAGAGGCUAAAGAACCUCAGGAAAAAGCCGCAAAAAAGCAGAGACGACAUGCUGAAAGCAGUUAUGGAUCACUCUGCCAGAGAGAG
Molecule: long non-coding RNA, 1027 nt
Organism: Gopherus evgoodei (Goodes thornscrub tortoise)
Lineage: Eukaryota; Metazoa; Chordata; Testudines; Testudinidae
Exons: 2
Source: RefSeq, a predicted model, not a curated record